Molecule: long non-coding RNA, 1132 nt
Organism: Leopardus geoffroyi (Geoffroy's cat)
Lineage: Eukaryota; Metazoa; Chordata; Mammalia; Carnivora; Felidae
Exons: 2
Source: RefSeq, a predicted model, not a curated record
CCUUUUAGCUUGCUGAAUGAAAUCCUCCACAUCUGAGGAUUACUCUGAGACCCACUUCUUGCUUGAGACCUGUUGACUCUACUCCAUUUGGCAUAAGUUAUCCCCUCCUCAGAAGUACCGUGUCUGCGUCACUCAUUUGUCUCUCCUGAACACACUUCAGUCUUGCUCUAGUUUUUAUUCUGUUGUGUUUUAGUAUCUUCUAAAUUCACCUUUUGUUUUGUCUUUCUACCUAUGUGAUCAACUCCUUUAGAGCAAGGAAGAUUCCCAAAAGUAUUUUGCAAGCCUGUGCCUCCCACAUAAUAAGCAUUCAGCAAAAAUCUGCUGAUGCAUUGGUCAAGUCCCAAUCUGGAAGCACCUGCAAGGUACAACUGACUAAGAGAGGCAGGAUGCUCGGUGACAUGAAAUGGUAUUCUGCAGCUUUCAUUGCUCUAAAGCUCUCCAUUACCCAGGGAAAGGAUUUCCACUCAAUUAGAUCACAGAAUAGAGGAUUAUGCGGUUUGAGUCCCAACAUGGGGAAGACUUGAAGAGAUUGUGUGUCAGAAAAACUAACUGAAGACAAGAGCUACAAUGUGUGUUAGCACGGAGGCAGUGUCCGCCCCAAGAACAGUCAGGUAUUUGUCUUCCUUUGUGCCUUCAGAGGGCUGUGUUGAGGGCUAGCACUCAUUUCCAGGAGAAAUGAAUCGCGCACCCUCAGAUUGGAUGUGGCUAGCUGGGUCUAGAGGGUGUCAGUCUUUGAGCUGCACGCCGUCUAACGUCAACACUUCGUUUACUUACAAUAUAAAUUAAAUCCCUGAGCUGGAACAAGCCAGGGGAGAGACAGCGGGCUAGACUUGUCAUGGCAGGAAAGAGUAAAACACAGUGUAUCCUCACAAAACAUAUUAAAGAUGUAAAUUUGGGUAGGAAAAAUCCCGUUAUGAUUAUUGCUUAUUACAUGUUGUUACUUAAUCUGAAUUCUUCCAGGAAAUUUGAGUUCACUGAAUUCAGCUUGGUAGGACUCAGUGGAAUAAAGAAAAGCUGAAAGAAAGAGUGUUAAAUUCUCCACCUGGUUUGGUUGUUGAUUUCUCUUUAACCUAUAGGAGGUUCAUUGUAUUCUGCCCUUGACAGACAGUAAUAAAAUUAUGGUCAAUUUGGG